UGAAGGCCGAGUCAAACUAACAGG
RNAcentral lists this non-coding RNA (24 nucleotides) under Mus musculus (house mouse). The record is from RNAcentral. Lineage: Eukaryota; Metazoa; Chordata; Mammalia; Rodentia; Muridae.